Dermacentor silvarum is the source of this 441-nucleotide long non-coding RNA. RefSeq lists it as uncharacterized. NCBI's taxonomy places the organism in Eukaryota, Metazoa, Arthropoda, Arachnida, Ixodida, Ixodidae. The transcript has 3 exons. The record is from RefSeq and is a predicted model, not a curated record.
UACGAUUUCGUAUAAAUGCACAGCCGUUCCCUCCAGCGAAGCUACCUUUUGCUUUUAACCUCAGUCGCUUUGACUUUUCACCGCAUUUGCGAGGGUGCGAGAUGAAGAACGAGCUUCUGUGCCUCCUCUUUCUCGCACUGAUAUUUGUGGUCUCAGAUGGAGGACUCCCGCAGGAUACCAUUCAAGAAGGCGCUUGCACUGGCCAAUGCCCACAGGGAACACGAGUAGGAUCGCCUUGCGGUAAUGGAUGCAUUUGCAAACGAAGAUCGGCUGAUAUAAACGGUCGGCCAACCUACAACACCAGGCUUUCUUGCGAGAGGAACUGAUGACAUUUUUUGUGGCCACGAAAGGUCUAAACGUUAUACUGAUCGGCCACUGCGAUUACAGACAUAAGGCGCUGCCCCUUCUAAAUAUAUGCCAAUAAAAUGGUGCUUUCAGCAA